UACGGGGGGAGCAAGCGUUGUUCGGAUUUACUGGGCGUAAAGGGCGCGUAGGCGGCGUGACAAGUCACUUGUGAAAUCUCCGGGCUUAACUCGGAGCGGCCAAGUGAUACUGUCGUGCUAGAGUGCGGAAGGGGCUACUGGAAUUCUCGGUGUAGCGGUGAAAUGCGUAGAUAUCGAGAGGAACACCUGCGGCGAAGGCGGGUUGCUGGGACGGUACUGACGCUGAGACGCGAAAGCGUGGGGAGCGAACAGG
This 253-nucleotide ribosomal RNA is filed under the name uncultured bacterium. Its description in RNAcentral is "partial 16S ribosomal RNA". It matches the Rfam family "Bacterial small subunit ribosomal RNA", at positions 524 to 776 of the family's 1533-position model. The record is from RNAcentral.